This is a long non-coding RNA of Octopus sinensis (East Asian common octopus), 625 nucleotides long. RefSeq lists it as uncharacterized. The record is from RefSeq and is a predicted model, not a curated record. The transcript has 2 exons. Lineage: Eukaryota; Metazoa; Mollusca; Cephalopoda; Octopoda; Octopodidae.
UGACUGUUUAAGUGACUUGCUGCAGAGAAUGAAUUACCACAGAUAUUACAGUGAUAUGAUUAUUUCCCCUGUAUAAGUUUGUGCUUAAUUGCAUCACUAUUUUAGAAGAGAGAUUUAACACAAAUAUCACACUGAAUGGUUUCUUCUCUAGUAUUGAUACAUCUGUGAAUAGUUAAAUGACUUGUCUAAGAGAAUAGUGUACAACAUCCCAGUAAAGUUCUCUUCUGUGAGAGUGUAUUUGUCUUUAGUUAAAUAACACCUUUCAUAUUCACCAAACAUAUUACAGUAGGUUGGUUGGUUUCUCACCUGUAUGAAAAUGUUUCAGCCUAAUUUAGCUAAAACAAUUUACAAUACAUACAACAGUGUGGAGCCUGGGGCAACUCUACAACUUACCAGCUCUAAUCAAAUAGUCUGACCCCUGCUAGCCUGGAAAAAAGAACAUUAAAUGAUGAUGAUGAUAACACUAUAUGGCUUCUGACCAGUAUGAAUACAUUUUUGACUAGUUAAUCUACUUUCAUCAGUGAAAGAUUUACCAGAGAUAUUGUAAUCAUGAUUUUCUUUUGUAUGAAUGUGUCUCAUCUGUAUCAAUAAAUGACUUGUUCCAUUGAAUGAUUUAUCAAAGAUA